GCCAGUGAUUGGGUGAUAGCCUAGUGGUGGUACGCCUUCCAAACCAGAAGGUCGUGAGCAAGACGUUUUUGGUUCCUGGCACACCGGGGGCCCAGGAGUAGUGAUACUCCGGUCUUCCCAACAGAAGGCGAUGCCACGGAAGGAAACAGUUCAACACUGCCUGGCCUCCCUCCUCAGCCUGCACUGGGUACUCUGGAGAAAGAUGGGACCAGACAGGAUAAAGUCCUCGAGUAAAACCCUGAUACUGCGGUCACACUGCAGACAGGCCUCGGCUGCAGGGACACAGCAGAGCAAGGACACCAGCAUCAACAGCAUCUGCCCUCUGCACCCUGAGAGUCACUUUUCCGUCAGUGCAGGUUCUGAAACAGAGUUGCCAAUAUUAUUAUUGCUGUUACAAAUAUCAACAUAACCGUUACUGCAACCCUUAUCACCACUCCUACACCUUAAUCCCAUCACUCCUGUUUCUACUUUAUCAUCAGGCCAUAUUUUCCAUUGCCUAAUAACCUAUUAAAAAGCUUUACAGCAUAGUUGAUUGGUUGUGGUAAUUUCAUUUAACACAAAUCUUUGUUGUAUG
This is a long non-coding RNA of Cottoperca gobio, 574 nucleotides long. RefSeq lists it as uncharacterized. The transcript has 3 exons. The record is from RefSeq and is a predicted model, not a curated record. NCBI's taxonomy places the organism in Eukaryota, Metazoa, Chordata, Actinopteri, Perciformes, Bovichtidae.